UUCCUGCCCUAUGAUUAGUUAAAUGGCUGCAGUAUCUUGACUGUGCAAAGGUAGCAUAAUAAUUAGUCUUUUAAUUGGAGUCUUGUAUGAAUGGAUUAAUGAGAUAUUUGUUUUAUUUUUAAUAAAUUUAAAAUUUAAUAUGUAAGUAAAAAAGCUUAUAUUAUUUUUUGGGACGAUAAGACCCUAUAGAACUUGAAUUUUUAAUAAUAUUUAUUUUGUUUUUAGAAUUAAUUUCAAAUUAGUUUUAUUAAUAUUUUAGUUGGGGUGACUAAUAAAUUUUAAACUUUAUUUAAAUUUAUCAUUUAUUUAUGUUUUAUUGAUCCAUAAUUUAUGAUUAUAAGAAAAAGUUACCUUAGGGAUAACAGCGUAAUUUUAAUGGGGAGUUCAUAUCUAUAUUAAAGUUUGCGACCUCGAUGUUGAAUUAAGAUUAUAUCAGGGGGUAG
This 443-nucleotide ribosomal RNA is filed under the name Torresabela fairmairii. RNAcentral's name for it is "partial large subunit ribosomal RNA". The stretch from base 1 to 105 matches the Rfam family "Eukaryotic large subunit ribosomal RNA", at positions 2196 to 2334 of the family's 3401-position model. Lineage: Eukaryota; Metazoa; Arthropoda; Insecta; Hemiptera; Cicadellidae. The record is from RNAcentral.